AAAUGGGCGCCGCCGGCGGCCUCCGCAGCCGAAGCCGCUCCGGGGGGCGGCCGACGGGCGGCCGACAGGGUAACCGAGGAGGGUGAGGGCACGGUGCAUUCUUGCAGCCCAGCCGGCGGAGGAGACCUCGGCAGCAGGCGACGGCGGGCACGGAGCUGUGUGAUCGGUGGGGCUCCCCGUCCCGCGGGAGGAGAUGGGGAUUCAUCCUGCUCGUCGGCGCAGGAGGGAGGUGAGGGAUCCACAGGUGUGCAUGUGUACAUGUUGAAUGUGACCGGGCAAAUUCAGGAGAUUAGUGACAUGAUGAUCAGGCUGACUUGUCAUUGCGCUGUAAACCACUGCUUGUUGUCCCGUGAGAUGCAAACUCUUGACUUGUUUGGACUUCUGAACCAGAGCUCGUGAAUUCUGUGGAUAGUUCUAUCUCUUGUUGACAGAGCAACAUCACCAGGGCUAUUAAAAGGGCAGAAGUUGAAGCAAUUCCUGUGACUACAAAGAGUCCUGAAAAGCUUUUGAAGUUUAGGCUACUUGAGCUGGCGAUGGUACCAUCAUUUUCACAGGCAUG
This is a long non-coding RNA of Phragmites australis (common reed), 559 nucleotides long. RefSeq lists it as uncharacterized. Lineage: Eukaryota; Viridiplantae; Streptophyta; Magnoliopsida; Poales; Poaceae. The record is from RefSeq and is a predicted model, not a curated record. The transcript is spliced from 3 exons.